UACGAAGGGGACUAGCGUUGUUCGGAAUUACUGGGCGUAAAGCGCACGUAGGCGGAUUUGUAAGUCAGGGGCGAAAUCCCGGGGCUCAACCUCGGAACUGCCUUUGAUACUGCAAAUCUCGAGUCCGAUAGAGGUGGGUGGAAUUCCUAGUGUAGAGGUGAAAUUCGUAGAUAUUAGGAAGAACACCGGUGGCGAAGGCGGCCCACUGGAUCGGUACUGACGCUGAGGUGCGAAAGCGUGGGGAGCAAACAGG
Molecule: ribosomal RNA, 253 nt
Filed under: uncultured bacterium
Lineage: Bacteria
Description: partial 16S ribosomal RNA
Rfam family: Bacterial small subunit ribosomal RNA
Source: RNAcentral